RNAcentral lists this ribosomal RNA (503 nucleotides) under uncultured bacterium. RNAcentral describes it as "partial 16S ribosomal RNA". It matches the Rfam family "Bacterial small subunit ribosomal RNA", at positions 30 to 523 of the family's 1533-position model. The record is from RNAcentral.
AUUGAACGCUGGCGGCAGGCUUAACACAUGCAAGUCGAGCGGGGUGAUGGUGCUUGCACUAUCACUUAGCGGCGGACGGGUGAGUAAUGCUUAGGAAUCUGCCUAUUAGUGGGGGACAACAUCUCGAAAGGGAUGCUAAUACCGCAUACGUCCUACGGGAGAAAGCAGGGGAUCACUUGUGACCUUGCGCUAAUAGAUGAGCCUAAGUCGGAUUAGCUAGUCGGUGGGGUAAAGGCCUACCAAGGCGACGAUCUGUAGCGGGUCUGAGAGGAUGAUCCGCCACACUGGGACUGAGACGCGGCCCAGACUCCUACGGGAGGCAGCAGUGGGGAAUAUUGGACAAUGGGGGGAACCCUGAUCCAGCCAUGCCGCGUGUGUGAAGAAGGCCUUAUGGUUGUAAAGCACUUUAAGCGAGGAGGGGGCUCUUUUGGUUAAUACCCAAGAUGAGUGGACGUUACUCGCAGAAUAAGCACCGGCUAACUCUGUGCCAGCAGCCGCCGCCG